GACGAACGCUGGCGGCGCGCCUAACACAUGCAAGUCGAACGGAGCUGAGAGAAGCUUGCUUUUCUUAGCUUAGUGGCGAACGGGUGAGUAACGCGUGAGUAACCUGCCCUGGAGUGGGGGACAACAGUUGGAAACGACUGCUAAUACCGCAUAAGCCCACGAUCCGGCAUCGGCUUGAGGGAAAAGGAUUUAUUCGCUUCAGGAUGGACUCGCGUCCAAUUAGCUAGUUGGUGAGGUAACGGCCCACCAAGGCGACGAUUGGUAGCCGGACUGAGAGGUUGAGCGGCCACAUUGGGACUGAGACACGGCCCAGACUCCUACGGGAGGCAGCAGUGGGGGAUAUUGCACAAUGGGGGAAACCCUGAUGCAGCGACGCCGCGUGGAGGAAGAAGGUUUUCGGAUUGUAAACUCCUGUCGUAAGGGACGAUAAUGACGGUACCUAACAAGAAAGCACCGGCUAACUACGUG
This 468-nucleotide ribosomal RNA is filed under the name uncultured bacterium. RNAcentral describes it as "partial 16S ribosomal RNA". It matches the Rfam family "Bacterial small subunit ribosomal RNA", at positions 28 to 507 of the family's 1533-position model. The record is from RNAcentral.